ACCACCGAGGUCUCCUCUAUUUUCCUCUUCUCUGUAAGGAUCUCCUUCAAGAAUUUGGAAUAAGCAGGCAUUUGUGAGAGCACUUCUGUGAAUGGUAAGUUCACAUGAACCUGUUUCAGCACAUCUAUAAAUCUCUCAAAUUGCUUGUCCAGCUUUUCUCUAUAUAGCUUUUGAGGGAAAGGUAAAGCAGGCAUAUGCUCGCUCUCAUCGUGUUCCUCCCUUAUUGAUUUUUCUUCCUUCUUCUUCUUCUCAGUUUUCAUCUGGCCUUUCUUCAUUUUAUCAUCAACAUUUUUCAGCUGCUCCCCACUUUCUUUUUCGAGUUUAACAUCAUUUUGGAUCGGGGUGGGAUCUUUCAACACUUACCCACUUCUCAGGGUUACAACAUUCACUGUUUCUUUGGGAUUCUUUUUAGUGUCAGCAGGGAGAGUUCCUGGAUCCCGCUCGGAUAAUAUUGUUGCAAUCUGUCCCACUUGUCUCUCCAGGUUUUGAAAACCAGUGCCCAAUUCUUUGAUAGAUGCUCCAGGAGCGUCCAGCCUCUCAUAUGUCUUGAUAAUGAAAGCCUUCAUUAAAUCCUCUAGACCAGCCUGAAUGGGCUUAUAAGGCUGAAAUUGUUGCCUCUACUGAUUUUGGUAUGUUGGAGCUCCUUGUCCCUAGAGUCUAGAGUUAUUUUGUUUCCAAGCAUUCGCAGUACCUCCAGGUGAACUCCAUGAAAAAUCGGGGUUCCUCUGACCCAUUGCAUUAAAAUUGAAGUUCCCUACAGCAUUUACUUCCUUAGUUGAGGCUUGGCACUCAUGAGUAGGGUGACCUUUUCCACAAAUAUCACAUGCUAUAUGAGGCUCAUUUUGUAUCGAGGCUAAGGUCAGGUUUCGUAUUUCUUUGGCCAUAGCAUCAAGUUGUACCUGCACAGAAGUAGUAGCAUCAACUUGGUGAGCGCCAGUUGAUCUUUUUCUUUCAGCACUCUCAAAGGGCCACUGAUUUGCAUCUUCAGAUAACUAAUCAAGGAUUGUGACUAUCUCCUCCGGAGUCUUCUUCAUCAAUGGGCCUCCAGCUGCAUUGCUCAAUGUUCUACAUGAGGCCGGUGUCAAUCCAUCCCAAAAGUCCUGGAGUUGCAUCUAGAGUUCAAUUCUGCUAUGUUGACACUUUCGCACAAUCUCCUUAAACCUCUCCCACGCUUCAAAAAUAGUUUCAGUAUCUUUCUGGCAGAAGUUAUGGAUUUCUCUUCUAAACUUGUCCGUUUUAGCUGAGGAGAAAUAUUUAUCAAGGAAUUUUCUGGUCAUCUCAUCCCAUGUUCUAAUUGAUCCCGUGGGCAAGCUCCAAAGCCACUACUUUGUAUCAACUUUGAGCAAAAAGGGGAAGGCCCUUAAGUACACUACAUCUUGUGACACCCUAUUAUAUUGAAAUAUGUUCAUAAUCUCCUCGAAGUCCAGUAGAUGUGUUUUUGGAUCUUCAUUUGGCUUCCCUUUGAAGACACAUCAAUUCUGCAGAGUUUGAAGCAACCCUUGAUUCAAUUUAAAGUUGUUUGCUGCAAUUGGAGGUGGUCUAACACUUGAUAAAACUUGAUUGUAGACCGGUCUAGCAUAAUCUCCAAGUUGUCUCCUAGGCCCAGGAGCUAUAUUUCCGAACUGGUCUAUAGCCAAGGGUUGAUUUUGAGCAAUUCUCCGACCCCUCUCUUCUUCAUAGAUAAUCUGUGCAUCUCUAAUAGCUGCUUCCUCAGCAUCCCGUGCAGCUUAUUCUCUUCGUUGGGAUGCUUCUCUUGCAGCCAAAUCUACAUUAUCAUCACCAUUUCCAACCAUAGUCUCUUUGGUUGAGGAUUGCCCAACCUUUUCUGAUGUCUCAGUGAGAUUUCUCUCCUUCCUCAACUGUCACAGUUGUUUUUCUAUCUCUGGCUCGUAUGGUAGCACUUCUUUAGCAGAAGCUCGAGUCAUGCACCACUCUAAACAUGUCACUUGCGCACAGUCAAAGAAUACCAAACGUAAAAAGAGAAAAAGAAAAAUUCCUGAAUUAGAAGUACAAACUAUUUCAAACACUAUUGAUUGUCAAUCCCCGGCAACAACGCCAAAAUUUUACGAGCUCGAAACACACACUUAAAUUAUGCUCGCUAUUAAUAUAUAGUAUAGUAUAAUAUCGUAUCUACAGGGAUUGGAUUUAAACAAUAUUCUCGUAGUUUCUAGCUUGAUCUCUAUCCAAGAGAAUCAAUAAUUGAGGUUUAUAUGAUUUUUAACUAAAAUUAACUAAGAAUCUAAAGCUAUUGACUAAUGACAAUCGAAACAAAUAUAAGCAAGGAAGUUAUCAAUGGGAUAAAAUAGGGGUUGAUAGGAUAGGUGCAAGAUAAUUAUUUGGGAUCUAACUCUAGGUAAUUCACUUCUAAUGUUCAAGUGAGUCUCUCGAAUUCACUCAAUUAUUAGUUCAAACGUUCAGCAAAAACUUCUCUCUCGAUUAAGUUUUAACCUCACAAAAUGAACCAAUCUAAGCACAUGAAGAUAUGCAAGAAUGCGUAGUGGAUUGGUCUUUAGUAAAACCUCUUUCGAUUAUUUUCCUAACUAGGUUUAGUCAAUGAUUCAACUAGCCUGUUUCGAUUACUAAAAAGAAUUAAUGAACUCAACCAACAAUAUAAUGCAAAGUUAUCACAAGUUAUACCUCUCUCGAUUACAUGAACAAGUGAGUAUAUAUGCAAUAAUUAAAUUAUCCAAAAAUGCUUCAAUACAUAAAACUAGAGUUAUAAUCCACAAACAAUCAUCAACACACCAAAUCCAUCAAACCCUAAAGAGAACUACUCCAUAGAUAUUGAGCAAUUCAUCACAAAUAUAGUUAAAGUAAUAGAAAACAUAAAUUCAAUCCAAACUCGUGUCUUGAGUGAGGAAGGAAUGAUGAAAUCCUUGUGCUCGUGUUCUUCCAACUCCUCCUUACCCUCCUUAGGUUGAAUAUGUGUCAAAAGUCCAGGAAAUAAUAUUUUUCCAUGUAUUUAUACCAAGUAGGGUCGGACCCAGAUGAAAUCACCUUCUCCUAACCGAAAUAGGAAAAUAACUCUGUAAAUAUUGUACAGGCGCGCUGCAUGGGGCGACGCGCCAUGCGGGGGAUUAGUGGGGAAAUCCAGAGAGCUCUGUGCAUAUGGAAUUCACAUGAUCACAGAUUGAUUUCAAGAAAGUAGCAGGUUGUAUAUGAAAGACUUAGAAGGAAGAAGUACAUUCGAACAAGUUCUGGGCAUGAAUUAGUUUCCUGGGAGUUUUAGCAAGGCAUGAAGAUGGGCAAGCAAUAAAUAUAGGAAACUCAUGUAUACAUAAACAUAGUAGACUAAGCAGGUUUAAGAUGAUCAGAAGUCACACACAAUGAGCAGAUAUAAAAAUUUUGGAUUUAGGCAGGUUUGGGUGCUAGAAAAUACAAGACUGCAGACUAACUUCAAGAGUGGAUAAGAUUGCAAACAAAGACAACACAACACCGAAAUCAUAUUGGUUCACAAAAAAAAAUUCGAACAACAUGGAUAUACAGAGCAUGAACACAAGUAAAAGAUGGUAGAAUUGCAAGAGUCAAGGUACUCACUAGUCACAAAUUAACGAGCAAGUAAAGGAAAAAUCAAAUGCCAAGAGUAGUUCAGUCAGCUGUAGUAGAGAAAGAACAGCAUGACUCCCGAAAUCCCAGUGCGUCAGAGUUCCCAAGGGUUUGAAGUGAACCCCGGGCAGUGCCUGCACUGAGAAAAGAGAAACAAUUGAAUUCUGGUGGCCUUGGCUUUAAGUCGGCCAAGGUCUCAAAAUUUAGAAUAGUAGAACGAGUGAGAGUAAGAGAGUAAUAGCAGUGGUUAAGGUCUAUCCUAGGAGAGUUGGGGGAUGGGUUUAUAUAGUAGCAAAAUUAAACACACAAACAAGGGAAAAUAAUCAAUUAAACAAAGAAAAAGGAAAGAAUAGCAUGCGAAAUCGAUUCAGAAUCAAUUUAGGAGAAAUCAAGUAAACCCUAGUUCAAGAUGGAGAACAAAAAAAUAGCAAAAGAUCUCACUGAAUCGGACCCAUAUGGCCUAGUAGUGAGUAUAUAUGGACAAAAUAUCGUCUAAAUCUAGAAAAUCGAAGGCGAUGGCACUUGAUUUGAGUGAUUGGUACUUGCCAAAAAUGGGGCCAGUACUAUGUAAUAUCAUAGUCUUGUAAGAAACAACGAUAUAAUCCAUAAAAGGUAAGUGAAUCAUGUAGGAGAUCCAUGGCUUGAUCGGAUUUGGUGAAGACUGGGGAAGGCGGCUGCUAGGGUUUCUUUCAGAGAAGGGAGAACAUUUGAGAGGGUUUAGGGGCGGUUGUUAGGUAGGAAAUGAGGUAGGGUUUCCGGGUUUGGUUAAUUUAAAGGGCUUGGGUGAGCUAGGGUCGUUGAUCUUGAGAGAUCAACGGCCAGGAUUUAAGAGAUGAACGGGGCGGGUCGAGAAAACGGGUUCCGGCCGGGUUGGAAUAAAAGGGUCAUUUGGUUUGGGCCAGGGGAGAUUGGGCUACGGUUUAGGCCAUCUUUUGGUCCGAAAAUUGGCUUAGGAUUGAGGUAUGAACUAAAAUAUGCGAAAAUUAUUUAAAAUAAUUUAUAAAAAUAAUUUAUAAAUAAUACAAUAUUACUUAUGCAGUAAAAUGAUUUAAAAUAAUAGCUUAACAUUAUAAAAAUAUAAAAAUACUAUUUUUUCAUGAAUAAUAUAAUAAAUAUAAUUAUGCGUAGAACAUAGGCUAUUAUUUCAAAAUUAUGUAAAUAGCUCAAAAAUGCAGAUAUAAUUAUAUGAAAUGAAGUAAAAAUAUUAUAAACAUGUAUGUGGAUGUAAAUAAUAAGUUUGGAUGAUUAAGUCAUCACAAAAUAUUUUAAAAGGAUAAUUAAUAAAUAUUUGAACAAUUUAAAUGCAAUAAAAUUAAUUUUAAAGCCUUAACAUUAUGAAAAUAUUACAGAAAAUACUUAUAUGGCUCUUGUAAAUUUGUGAUGAUGAAAAAAGGAUAUUUUGAAAAUAUACAUGAUAUUUAUAAAAUAUGAGGACAAAAUUGGGUAUCAACAAUAUACAAAACAAAACGAAUAUAAUCAUAAAUUCGUGUUGCAUGACCCCGAAACUCCAUAAAUGAACUCGAAAGUCAUGGUGAAGCAUUGAGUAUUGGUCACUAGGUUGUUUUCUAUAGACCUACUAAAUGUUAAGUCAAUCAGAGUCCGUCAAAAAAUUUCUACUAAGUUAGCAUGUACUAAUAUACACUAAAAAUUGGAUAUAAUCACAAAUUCGUGUUGCAUGAUCCCGAAUUAUCAUUAAAUAAACCCAAAACGCCAAACAUAGAUGUUAGUCAUGGAAAAGCGGCGAGUAUUUGUCACUAGGCCGAUUUCUAUGGACCUACAAAAUUCCAGGCUAAUCGAAAUCCGUCAAAAAAAUUCUACAAAAUCAGCAUGUACUAAUAUACAUGAAAAAGUGGAUAAUCAUAAAUUCGUAUUCCAUGACCCUGAAAAUCAUGGUGAAGCAAGGAGUAUUGCUCGCUAGGCCAUUUCCUAUGGACCUAGAAAAAUUCAGUCCAAUUAGAGUCCGACAAAAAAAUUCUACAAAAUUAACAUGUACUAAUACAUAUAAAAAAGUGGAUAUAAUUACAACUUGGUGUUGCAUGACCCCAAAGCGUCAUUAAAUGAACCUGAAACGCCAAAAUGCAAUGUUAGUCAUGGUGAAGCGAUGAGUGUUAUUCACUAAGCCUUUUUCUAUGGACCUACAAAAUUUCAGGCCAAUCGGAAUCCGUCAAUUUUUUUUUUACAGAAUUAGCAUUUACUAAUACACACAAAAAAUUAGGUAUAAUCAUCAAUUUGUUUUGAAUAAAUCCAAAACACCAAAAAAUAAACUCGAAAGUCAUGACGAACCGAUAAGUAUUAGUCACUAAGCCAUUUUCUAUGGACCUACAAAGUUUCAGGCCAACCGGAGUCCGUCAAAAAAAAUCCUACAAAAUCAGCAUGUACUAAUACAAAUAAAAAAAUGAAUAUAAUUAUAAUUUUUUUGCAGCAACUAAGAAGAAGAAGAAGAAGAAGAAAGGAGGAAGAAAAGGCCUGAAAUUAUAUAUAUUUUGAGUACUAGUUAAAUAUUUUUUUAAAAGUGGAUACAAGUUAAAUAGAUCAUGUAAAUAUCAUUUAUAUCUUCUUUGGGUAGAGGUAAGGUUUGCGUACAUUCUACCCUCCCCAGACAGGCAGACUCCACUAGUGGAAUUACACGUUAUUAUUGUUGUUGGGUACAAGGUAAAUAGGACGACAAGUAAGGCACCCCUGAAAUUUUUACCUACUUUUUUCUGACUUGUAACUCCGCCCUCGAUAACCUGUGAUUUGUGAACAUUGUAUGGACUAGAUUGUUCGGUUCAAUCAAUAAUGUGUCCAAAAUUCCAUGGUCCUACUUGUCUCAUUUUGACGAUUUUUCUCUUGUUUGAUAUCUACAUCUUAAGUUACAAUCUUCAAAUUUUACUGUCCUGAAUAUCUUACUUGGGUUAAUAUACGAUAGCAUCCUUCGAGGCAGACGAUUACCUGUGUGUUCAGUAAAACUCAACAACUUUAGUUUAAAUUUUAUAUUUAUAUUAAAAAGUUCACAAAAUAUGUACAAAACAUUUUCCAUAAAGUUUCUCUUAUAACACAGACCAACAAACGAUUUCAAUAAACUAAAUUAGACAAGAUUAAAGAUUGAAAAAUAAGUCCACUUAAAGAUAAAAAUUUACUUGGUUCUUCACUUCUUUGCAACAAAUGACAUUGAAACAAUAAUACACUGAAAUAAUUUCAUAAAUAAAUCGCUAUUCAACAAUAGCACAAUCCACAAAGAUACAAUUUUGAGGGAAGAGGAAGAGAAAAUAAAUCAAGAAACUCGACAUCCUCUCAUGUCGAUCCAGGCAAUUAAUCCUUCAAAUCUUAGCUUGGAACCUGUAAUUCAGACAGAAUUUAUGAUUAAUGAGUUUAAGUUCCUUACUUUAAAAAAAAAAGAAGCAAAAAGACCAAAAAAAAAAAAAGGAAAAGGAAGAAGAAGAAGAAGAAUAUUGCCGACAAUUACUUCACAAAAAAUCUUAAAAUUAUAAGGUUACUUCUACUCAGACCUCUACGUUAAUUCACCCUAAUAUUAAGAUCCACUUGACUGAAAAAUUUAGCUUCUAGUCUAGUUAUAUAUAAAUGAAGAAAAUAAUUACUAUCCUAGUCCCAAUGGUCUUGGUUUUGUAAAUUGACCUACAAUACAAUAAUAGGUAAUAACUAUUAUGUAAAGUCAGAGUAAAAAUCUACUACUAAUCAAUCAAUUUGCAUUAAUAGUGUAAGUUUUUCUUUUACACUGUCAAGGCAUAAUUAACUUAAAACCUUGUACUAUAUCGAAUAGUACUAACGUACAACAAUCAUUCUACAUGAUUUUCUAUCCUUUUUUUGGCCAAAAUUUUUUUCCACUGGCAUUACCAAUUCUUUAUUAAUAAGUCGAGUUAUGCAAUCAACUUUUUCCUCAAAAUAGGAACAAAAGCAAACGCGCAUACAAUGCAGCCAGAAGUUUUUAAGAUGAGGUUAUGGGAAAAGGAUUUCACUUACGAGUUUAACUUACAUAUACUAAUAAUAUUAUGAUUGACUAUACUACUAAUAUAUUUUAACUUGUCAUAACAGUCAUUACUUUGUUAUAUAAAUAAUUUUAACCCGAUUUGAACUUGAAGAAGCGAGCCCGGUUAACCAGACAAGCUGGAGGGACUUCCAAAGUGUGUAUCUCUUCUUUACUUUUAAGUGACAAGAAGGUAACAAAGGGUUCUCAAAGUAUAUAUCUCUAGUAGUCCUUUCUCCUGUUAAACUCCGUUCAAGUGGCAAGAAGCCAAGUACGGAGUAAUGGACUUCCUUUACUUCGUAACCUUAGCCUGUUAAAAAGUUAUACAUUGUCAAUGCAGAUUAAUUAAGCUUAAUGGAAAAAGGUAUAUAUACUUAACUUAAAUCUAGAGAGAGCAAGUGUAGCCAGGUGGUGGAGUCUUCCCACAGGUAACAAGGAGCUGAAGAGCAAGAGGGACAUAGAUUUUAAGGUUAAGAAGCUUGACUUUAAGUGUUGUGCAAAGGCAAGCAGCAGCUUCAAGUUCCACAAGUCCCUGUAGAAUUGGACAACAUUCAUUAACGGCGGGAUCACCAAUUCCAAUAUGAACUAGCCCACCAAGAAGAUCUACACAAGCUCCAAGUUUUAGUGUGUCAAUUGGGCAUGUUGCCUUUGUUGUUGUUGGUGGAGGGCAUGGUUUUCCUUUUGGGGAUGGUGUAACUGGAGGAACAGUAAUUGGUGGAACUGUCACUGGCGGAAUUCCUAUAGGUGGCAAGUUGAUAGGAGGUUUUACAAUAGGUGGUAUACCAAUUGGUGGCUUAACAACUGGUGGAACUGUCACCGGUGGAAUUCCGAUAGGUGGCUUAAUAACUGGUGGAAUAAUGGGUGGCAAGUUGAUAGGAGGUUUAAUAACCGGUGGAACUGUCACUGGUGGAAUUCCGAUAGGUGGCUUAAUAACUGGUGGAACAACAGGUGGCAAAUUGAUGGGUGGUUUUACAACUGGUGGAACUGUCACUGGUGGAAUUCCGAUAGGCGGCUUAAUAACUGGUGGAACAACGGGUGGCAAGUUGAUGGGUGGUUUUACAAUCGGUGGAACUGUCACUGGUGGAAUUCCAAUGGGUGGCAAAUUGAUAGGGGGUUUAAUACUUGGAGAGGGAGUUUUGGGCUUUUUGGGUUUGUGAGAGGGUUUUCCACAAUAUCCACAACCAAGAAUGGGAGUGAAUGAAGAAAGGAAAAGCAUGGAAAUGAAAAGAAGACAUGUUAUUUUAGAUGACUCCAUUUUCCUACGAGGAAAGGAAAGAAAGAGGG
Molecule: long non-coding RNA, 8794 nt
Filed under: Nicotiana tabacum (common tobacco)
Lineage: Eukaryota; Viridiplantae; Streptophyta; Magnoliopsida; Solanales; Solanaceae
Description: long non-coding RNA (NTAB_LNC001668)
Rfam family: Plant small nucleolar RNA R71 (bases 1123-1229)
Source: RNAcentral